RNAcentral lists this ribosomal RNA (174 nucleotides) under Klebsiella terrigena. RNAcentral describes it as "Raoultella terrigena partial 16S ribosomal RNA". It matches the Rfam family "Bacterial small subunit ribosomal RNA", at positions 338 to 502 of the family's 1533-position model. The record is from RNAcentral. Lineage: Bacteria; Pseudomonadati; Pseudomonadota; Gammaproteobacteria; Enterobacterales; Enterobacteriaceae.
CCUACGGGAGGCAGCAGUGGGGAAUAUUGCACAAUGGGCGCAAGCCUGAUGCAGCCAUGCCGCGUGUAUGAAGAAGGCCUUCGGGUUGUAAAGUACUUUCAGCGAGGAGGAAGGCGAUAAGGUUAAUAACCCUUGUNCGAUUGACGUACNNCGCAGAAGAAGCCCCGUAUCUCG